UACGUAGGGGGGCAAGCGUUAUCCGGAAUUAUUGGGCGUAAAGAGCUCGUAGGCGGUUUGUUGCGUCGGCUGUGAAAUCCCGAGGCUCAACCUCGGGUCUGCAGUCGAUACGAGCAAACUAGAGUGUUGCAGGGGGAGACUGGAAUUCCUGGUGUAGCGGUGGAAUGCGCAGAUAUCAGGGAGGAACACCGGUGGGCGAAGGCGGGUCUCUGGGCAGUAACUGACGCUGGAGGAGCGAAAGCGUGGGGAGCGAACGG
RNAcentral lists this ribosomal RNA (257 nucleotides) under uncultured bacterium. RNAcentral describes it as "partial 16S ribosomal RNA". It matches the Rfam family "Bacterial small subunit ribosomal RNA", at positions 524 to 775 of the family's 1533-position model. The record is from RNAcentral.